This 230-nucleotide ribosomal RNA is filed under the name uncultured bacterium. Its description in RNAcentral is "partial 16S ribosomal RNA". It matches the Rfam family "Bacterial small subunit ribosomal RNA", at positions 562 to 791 of the family's 1533-position model. The record is from RNAcentral.
AAAGGGAGCGUAGGCGGCUGAUUAAGUCAGCGGUGAAAGGUAGCAGCUUAACUGUUUUACAUGCCGUUGAUACUGGUUAGCUUGAGUUGACAGAAGGCAGAUAGAAUUCCUGGUGUAGCGGUGAAAUGCUUAGAUACCAGGAGGAAUACCGAUUGCGAAGGCAGUCUGCUGCAGUCACACUGACGCUGAGGCUCGAAGGUGCGGGGAUCAAACAGGAUUAGAUCCCUGGU